This 136-nucleotide ribosomal RNA is filed under the name uncultured eukaryote. RNAcentral describes it as "partial 18S ribosomal RNA". It matches the Rfam family "Eukaryotic small subunit ribosomal RNA", at positions 1299 to 1458 of the family's 1831-position model. The record is from RNAcentral.
UCGUGGGAGUGACCUGUCUGCUUAAUUGCGAUAACGAACGAGACCUUAACCUGCUAACUAGCCAGGCUCGCUUUGGCGGGUCGCCGGCUUCUUAGAGGGACUAUCGGCUUAAGCCGAUGGAAGUGAGGCAAUAACA